ACAGCUAUUAGAGGCACCUGCCUGCCAGUGACACAUGUUUAACGGCCGCGGUACCCUAGACCGUGCAAAGGUAGCAUAAUCACUUGUUCCUUAAAUAGGGACCUGUAUGAAUGGCUCCACGAGGGUUCAGCUGUCUCUUACUUUUAACCAGUGAAAUUGACCUGCCCGUGAAGAGGCGGGCAUGACACAGCAAGACGAGAAGACCCUAUGGAGCUUUAAUUUAUUAAUGCAAACAGUACCUAACAAACCCACAGGUCCUAAACUACCAAACCUGCAUUAAAAAUUUCGGUUGGGGCGACCUCGGAGCAAAACCCAACCUCCGAGCAGUACAUGCUAAGACUUCACCAGUCAAAGCGAACUACUAUACUCAAUUGAUCCAAUAACUUGACCAACGGAACAAGUUACCCUAGGGAUAACAGCGCAAUCCUAUUCUAAAGUCCAUAUCAACAAUAGGGUUUACAACCUCGAUGUUGGAUCAGGACAUCCCGAUGGUGCACCCGCUAUUAAAGGUUCGUUUGUUCAACGAUUAAAGUCCUACGUGAUCUGAUUUCAAACCGGA
Molecule: ribosomal RNA, 559 nt
Filed under: Phascolosoma esculenta
Lineage: Eukaryota; Metazoa; Annelida; Sipuncula; Phascolosomatiformes; Phascolosomatidae
Description: partial 16S ribosomal RNA
Rfam family: Bacterial large subunit ribosomal RNA
Source: RNAcentral